GACGAACGCUGGCGGCGUGCUUAACACAUGCAAGUCGAACGGAAAGGCCCUGCUUGCAGGGUGCUCGAGUGGCGAACGGGUGAGUAACACGUGGGUGAUCUGCCCCUUACUUUGGGAUAAGCCUGGGAAACUGGGUCUAAUACUGGAUAGGACCAUGCUGUAGGUGGUGUGGUGGAAAGAUUAGUUUCGGUAAGGGAUGAGCUCGCGGCCUAUCAGCUUGUUGGUGGGGUAAUGGCCUACCAAGGCGUCGACGGGUAGCCGGCCUGAGAGGGUGGACGGCCACAUUGGGACUGAGAGACGGCCCAGACUCCUACGGGAGGCAGCAGUGGGGAAUAUUGCACAAUGGGCGAAAGCCUGAUGCAGCGACGCCGCGUGGGGGAUGACGGCCUUCGGGUUGUAAACUCCUUUCAGCCAUGACGAAGCCCUUGUGGUGACGGUAGUGGUAGAAGAAGCACAGGCUAACUACGUG
This 469-nucleotide ribosomal RNA is filed under the name uncultured bacterium. RNAcentral describes it as "partial 16S ribosomal RNA". It matches the Rfam family "Bacterial small subunit ribosomal RNA", at positions 28 to 507 of the family's 1533-position model. The record is from RNAcentral.